AGGUCAGCGGAGACCCGCCGCCUUUGCUUCCCAAGCUGAUAACGCGGGUUCGAUUCCCGUCAUCC
Molecule: transfer RNA, 65 nt
Filed under: Spinactinospora alkalitolerans
Lineage: Bacteria; Bacillati; Actinomycetota; Actinomycetes; Streptosporangiales; Nocardiopsidaceae
Description: tRNA-Gly
Source: RNAcentral